UGGGGGAUAUUGCACAAUGGGCGAAAGCCUGAUGCAGCGACGCCGCGUGGGGGAUGAAGGCUUUCGGGUUGUAAACCUCUUUCGCUAUCGAACAAGGCCCGCUUAGGGUGGGUUGAGGGUAGGUGGAGAAGAAGCGCCGGCUAACUACGUGCCAGCAGCCGCGGUAAUACGUAGGGCGCGAGCGUUGUCCGGAAUUAUUGGGCGUAAAGGGCUUGUAGGCGGCUUGUUUGGCCUGCUGUGAAAACGCGGGGCUUAACUUCGCGCGUGCAGUGGGUACGGGCAGGCUUGAGUGUGGUAGGGGUGACUGGAAUUCCAGGUGUAGCGGUGGAAUGCGCAGAUAUCUGGAGGAACACCGAUGGCGAAGGCAGGUCACUGGGCCAUUACUGACGCUGAGGAGCGAAAGCAUGGGUAGCGAACAGG
Molecule: ribosomal RNA, 420 nt
Filed under: bacterium
Lineage: Bacteria
Description: partial 16S ribosomal RNA
Rfam family: Bacterial small subunit ribosomal RNA
Source: RNAcentral